This 1368-nucleotide ribosomal RNA is filed under the name uncultured beta proteobacterium. RNAcentral's name for it is "bacterial SSU rRNA". It matches the Rfam family "Bacterial small subunit ribosomal RNA", at positions 29 to 1395 of the family's 1533-position model. The record is from RNAcentral. Lineage: Bacteria; Pseudomonadati; Pseudomonadota; Betaproteobacteria.
UUGAACGCUGGCGGCAUGCCUUACACAUGCAAGUCGAACGGCAGCACGGGUGCUUGCACCUGGUGGCGAGUGGCGAACGGGUGAGUAAUACAUCGGAACAUGUCCUGUAGUGGGGGAUAGCCCGGCGAAAGCCGGAUUAAUACCGCAUACGAUCUACGGAUGAAAGCGGGGGACCUUCGGGCCUCGCGCUAUAGGGUUGGCCGAUGGCUGAUUAGCUAGUUGGUGGGGUAAAGGCCUACCAAGGCGACGAUCAGUAGCUGGUCUGAGAGGACGACCAGCCACACUGGGACUGAGACACGGCCCAGACUCCUACGGGAGGCAGCAGUGGGGAAUUUUGGACAAUGGGCGAAAGCCUGAUCCAGCAAUGCCGCGUGUGUGAAGAAGGCCUUCGGGUUGUAAAGCACUUUUGUCCGGAAAGAAAUCCUUGGCUCUAAUACAGUCGGGGGAUGACGGUACCGGAAGAAUAAGCACCGGCUAACUACGUGCCAGCAGCCGCGGUAAUACGUAGGGUGCGAGCGUUAAUCGGAAUUACUGGGCGUAAAGCGUGCGCAGGCGGUUUGCUAAGACCGAUGUGAAAUCCCCGGGCUCAACCUGGGAACUGCAUUGGUGACUGGCAUGCUAGAGUAUGGCAGAGGGGGGUAGAAUUCCACGUGUAGCAGUGAAAUGCGUAGAGAUGUGGAGGAAUACCGAUGGCGAAGGCAGCCCCCUGGGCCAAUACUGACGCUCAUGCACGAAAGCGUGGGGAGCAAACAGGAUUAGAUACCCUGGUAGUCCACGCCCUAAACGAUGUCAACUAGUUGUUGGGGAUUCAUUUCCUUAGUAACGUAGCUAACGCGUGAAGUUGACCGCCUGGGGAGUACGGUCGCAAGAUUAAAACUCAAAGGAAUUGACGGGGACCCGCACAAGCGGUGGAUGAUGUGGAUUAAUUCGAUGCAACGCGAAAAACCUUACCUACCCUUGACAUGGUCGGAAUCCCGCUGAGAGGUGGGAGUGCUCGAAAGAGAACCGGCGCACAGGUGCUGCAUGGCUGUCGUCAGCUCGUGUCGUGAGAUGUUGGGUUAAGUCCCGCAACGAGCGCAACCCUUGUCCUUAGUUGCUACGCAAGAGCACUCUAAGGAGACUGCCGGUGACAAACCGGAGGAAGGUGGGGAUGACGUCAAGUCCUCAUGGCCCUUAUGGGUAGGGCUUCACACGUCAUACAAUGGUCGGAACAGAGGGUUGCCAACCCGCGAGGGGGAGCUAAUCCCAGAAAACCGAUCGUAGUCCGGAUUGCACUCUGCAACUCGAGUGCAUGAAGCUGGAAUCGCUAGUAAUCGCGGAUCACGCAUGCCGCGGUGAAUACGUUCCCGGGUCUUGUACACACCGCCC